AGAGUUUGAUCCUGGCUCAAAUUGAACGCUGGCGGCAUGCUUUACACAUGCAAGUCGAACGGCAGCACGGGUGCUUGCACCUGGUGGCGAGUGGCGGACGGGUGAGUAAUACAUCGGAACGUAUCCUGAAGUGGGGGAUAACGCAUCGAAAGAUGUGCUAAUACCGCAUAUACUCUGAGGAGGAAAGUAGGGGAUCGAAAGACCUUAUGCUUUUGGAGCGGCCGAUGUCUGAUUAGCUAGUUGGUAAGGUAAUGGCUUACCAAGGCAACGAUCAGUAGUUGGUCUGAGAGGACGACCACCCACACUGGGACUGAGACACGGCCCACACUCCUACGGGAGGCAGCAGUGGGGAAUUUUGGACAAUGGGCGCAAGCCUGAUCCAGCAAUGCCGCGUGCAGGAAGAAGGCCUUCGGGUUGUAAACCUCUUUCACCAGGGACGAAGCGUGAGUGACGGUACCUGGAGAAGAAGCACCGGCCAACUACGUGCCAGCAGCCGCGGUAAUACGUAGGGUGCGAGCGUUGUCCGGAAUUACUGGGCGUAAAGAGCUCGUAGGCGGUUUGUCGCGUCGUCUGUGAAAUUCUGCAACUCAAUUGCAGGCGUGCAGGCGAUACGGGCAGACUUGAGUACUACGGGGGAGACUGUAUUUCCUGGUGGUAGCGGUGAAAUGCGCAGAUAUCAGGAGGAACACCGGGUGGCCGAAGGCGGGUCCUCUGGGUAGUAACUGACGCUGAGGAGCGAAAGCGUGGUAGCGAACAGAUUAGAUACCGCUGUAGUCCACGCCAGUAGACGGUGGGUAACAGAGGUGUGGGGCUUCCUUUUCAAGAGCAUCCGUGCCGUAGCUAACGCGUGAGUCGAACGCUUGAGGAAGUACCGGCGCAGGUGAAUCUCGAGUAUCGACGGGUCGCCAGCGAGUAAGUAGUGAUCUUAGUUGGAUG
RNAcentral lists this ribosomal RNA (936 nucleotides) under uncultured bacterium. RNAcentral describes it as "bacterial SSU rRNA". It matches the Rfam family "Bacterial small subunit ribosomal RNA", at positions 8 to 956 of the family's 1533-position model. The record is from RNAcentral.